AUGCCUGUACCAUAACCGACACAGGUGGGUAGGUAGAGUAUACUAAGGGGCGCGAGAUAACUCUCUCUAAGGAACUCGGCAAAAUGACUCCGUAACUUCGGGAGAAGGAGUGCCUUAUUUAUAAGGUUGCAAUAACAAGAUCCAAGCAACUGUUUAUCAAAAACACAGGUCUCCGCUAAGUCGUAAGACGAUGUAUGGGGGCUGACGCCUGCCCAGUGCCAGAAGGUUAAAGAAGUUGGUUAGUGUAUGCGAAGCUGAUGACUGAAGCCCUGGUGAACGGCGGCCGUAACAAUAACGGUCCUAAGGUAGCGAAAUUCCUUGUCGGGUAAGUUCCGACCCGCACGAAAGGCGUAAUGAUUUGGAUACUGUCUCGGAGAGAGGCUCGGUGAAAUAGACUUGUCUGUGAAGAUGCGGACUACCUGCACCAGGACAGAAAGACCCUAUGAAGCUUUACUGUAACUUGAAAUUGGAAUUGGACUUUGCUUGCGCAGUAUAGGUGGGAAGCGUUGAAGAUAUUCUUGCGGGAGUAUUGGAGCUAUCAGUGAGAUACCACUCUUGUAAUGUUAGAUUUCUAACUUUGAACCAUAAUCUGGUCAAAGAACAGUUUCAGGUGGGCAGUUUGACUGGGGCGGUCGCCUCCCAAAUGGUAACGGAGGCGUACAAAGGUUUCCUCUGAACGGAUAGAAAUCGUAUCUAGAGUGUAAAGGCAUAAGGAAGCUUGACUGUGAGACCUACAAGUCGAGCAGGGACGAAAGUCGGUCUUAGUGAUCUGACGGUACUGAGUGGAAAGGCCGUCACUCAACGGAUAAAAGUUACUCUAGGAUAACAGGCUGAUCUCCCCCAAGAGUUCACAUCGACGGGGAGGUUUGGCACCUCGAUGUCGGCUCAUCGCAUCCUGUGCGGUAGUACGUCCCAAGGGUUGGGCUGUUCGCCCAUGAAAGCGGUACGCGAGCUGGGUUCAGAACGUCGUGAGACAGUUCGGUCCAUAUCCGGUGUAGGCGUUAGAAUAUUGAGAGGAGCCUUCUUUAGUACGAGAGGACCGAGAAGGACACACCGCUGGUGUACCAGUUAUCGUGCCAACGGUAAACGCUGGGUAGCUAUGUGUGGAGUGGAUAACCGCUGAAAGCAUCUAAGUGGGAAGCCCACCUCAAGAUGAGUAUUCUCAUCACUAUAAGUGAGUAAGGUCACGGUAAGACUAACCGUUUGAUAGGCAUUAAGUGUAAAUGUAGUAAUGCAUGUGCUGAGAUGUCCUAACAGACCGAGGACUUG
Molecule: ribosomal RNA, 1269 nt
Filed under: metagenome
Description: bacterial LSU rRNA
Rfam family: Bacterial large subunit ribosomal RNA
Source: RNAcentral